This 1100-nucleotide ribosomal RNA is filed under the name Staphylococcus aureus. Its description in RNAcentral is "bacterial SSU rRNA". It matches the Rfam family "Bacterial small subunit ribosomal RNA", at positions 100 to 1186 of the family's 1533-position model. The record is from RNAcentral. Lineage: Bacteria; Bacillati; Bacillota; Bacilli; Caryophanales; Staphylococcaceae.
GGACGGGUGAGUAACACGUGGAUAACCUACCUAUAAGACUGGGAUAACUUCGGGAAACCGGAGCUAAUACCGGAUAAUAUUUUGAACCGCAUGGUUCAAAAGUGAAAGACGGUCUUGCUGUCACUUAUAGAUGGAUCCGCGCUGCAUUAGCUAGUUGGUAAGGUAACGGCUUACCAAGGCAACGAUGCAUAGCCGACCUGAGAGGGUGAUCGGCCACACUGGAACUGAGACACGGUCCAGACUCCUACGGGAGGCAGCAGUAGGGAAUCUUCCGCAAUGGGCGAAAGCCUGACGGAGCAACGCCGCGUGAGUGAUGAAGGUCUUCGGAUCGUAAAACUCUGUUAUUAGGGAAGAACAUAUGUGUAAGUAACUGUGCACAUCUUGACGGUACCUAAUCAGAAAGCCACGGCUAACUACGUGCCAGCAGCCGCGGUAAUACGUAGGUGGCAAGCGUUAUCCGGAAUUAUUGGGCGUAAAGCGCGCGUAGGCGGUUUUUUAAGUCUGAUGUGAAAGCCCACGGCUCAACCGUGGAGGGUCAUUGGAAACUGGAAAACUUGAGUGCAGAAGAGGAAAGUGGAAUUCCAUGUGUAGCGGUGAAAUGCGCAGAGAUAUGGAGGAACACCAGUGGCGAAGGCGACUUUCUGGUCUGUAACUGACGCUGAUGUGCGAAAGCGUGGGGAUCAAACAGGAUUAGAUACCCUGGUAGUCCACGCCGUAAACGAUGAGUGCUAAGUGUUAGGGGGUUUCCGCCCCUUAGUGCUGCAGCUAACGCAUUAAGCACUCCGCCUGGGGAGUACGACCGCAAGGUUGAAACUCAAAGGAAUUGACGGGGACCCGCACAAGCGGUGGAGCAUGUGGUUUAAUUCGAAGCAACGCGAAGAACCUUACCAAAUCUUGACAUCCUUUGACAACUCUAGAGAUAGAGCUUUCCCCUUCGGGGGACAAAGUGACAGGUGGUGCAUGGUUGUCGUCAGCUCGUGUCGUGAGAUGUUGGGUUAAGUCCCGCAACGAGCGCAACCCUUAAGCUUAGUUGCCAUCAUUAAGUUGGGCACUCUAAGUUGACUGCCGGUGACAAACCGGAGGAAGGGGGGGAUGACGUC